AAUCAACGCUGGCGGCGUGCCUAACACAUGCAAGUCGAACGCGAAAGUCCCGCAAGGGAUGAGUAGAGUGGCAAACGGGUGAGUAACACGUGGGUGACCUGCCUUCGAGCGGGGGAUAACGUCCCGAAAGGGACGCUAAUACCGCAUGACAUCCUACCUUUGAAGAGGUGGAGAUCAAAGCUGGGGAUCGCAAGACCUAGCACUUGAAGAGGGGCCCGCGUCUGAUAGCUAGUUGGUGGGGUAACGGCUCACCAAGGCAACGAUCAGUAUCCGGCCUGAGAGGGCGGACGGACACACUGGGACUGAGACACGGCCCAGACUCCUACGGGAGGCAGCAGUGGGGAAUUGUUCGCAAUGGGCGCAAGCCUGACGACGCAACGCCGCGUGGAGGAUGAAGACCU
This 401-nucleotide ribosomal RNA is filed under the name uncultured bacterium. RNAcentral's name for it is "bacterial SSU rRNA". It matches the Rfam family "Bacterial small subunit ribosomal RNA", at positions 29 to 417 of the family's 1533-position model. The record is from RNAcentral.